RNAcentral lists this non-coding RNA (19 nucleotides) under Mus musculus (house mouse). Lineage: Eukaryota; Metazoa; Chordata; Mammalia; Rodentia; Muridae. The record is from RNAcentral.
CCAAGCCUCUAGUGCACCA